Molecule: long non-coding RNA, 5002 nt
Filed under: Olea europaea (common olive)
Lineage: Eukaryota; Viridiplantae; Streptophyta; Magnoliopsida; Lamiales; Oleaceae
Description: long non-coding RNA (OEUR_LNC001827)
Source: RNAcentral
CAUGGAAAUAAAUAAAGGUCAGUGUCAUGGUUGGUCUUUAUUAUUAAUAAUAUCUUUUCUGUUUUAAGUACAUCAAAUUUCACGGAGUUAGCCUUAUUCCAUCUUUAUAAGACAGGUCACACGAAUCCUUUGCCAUUCAGAUUUGUCUUGGGAAAUGAACUGUUGAAAAUUAUUACAUGAACAUUGGUGGCAUAUGUGCUACUUGCGACUUCCAUUUAUUUGUAUUUGUAGAUAAUAUUAAUUUGUUUACUUGAUAAUUUAGAUAUAUCUGGAGGUUUUCCUCCUCAUCGAGUGGUGGAGGGUCUGUUUUUUGAAGCUUUCCCCUUUCUCUUUUAAGGAUCAUGCUACAUGUACAUUAAGAUUUACAUAAGAGAUUACAUAAUUUUUACAUGUUACUCUACCAUUUGUCAGUUUAAUAUAUAAUUAACUUUUACAUCCAAUCUUUUCCCUCCACAUCAUUUUGAUAACUGUUUAUGUACCAUUUUUAUGUACAAGUAGCAAAAUCCUUUGAAAAAAACAUGGUUUUGUAGAUCUUGCAAUUAUCUAAUAUGCUGAUGAUUGAUUACAGAUGCAGAUUUGAGAGAGGCGUAAGCAUCUGGGAGAACUUUCCGUUUAAUCUUGUUUGUCUUGGUUGGUUUGAUGUCAAAAGAAAACCUUCUGAACUGAAAUCUUGUUCUCUAUUUGGUUUGAUUCACAAAAUCAAGGUGUUUCUUGGUUGACCAAAUUCAGAGUUUAAUUGAUUUCCAGUUUUGUCUAUUAAAGGUAAUCUUUUAUAUUCUAACCAAAUCGUGCAUUGAAUUCAAGCAUCACAUUUUUACAAAGCAUUUACCCUCUCUAUCUUUUGGUAUCUAAAAAGUCGAAUAGAAUUCGUAGAGCAUGGAUGUUAAGUGCUAAUGGAUCCAAUACACACUCUAAAAUUUUGUUUGAUUCUGCUGCUGGUUUAUUAGAAGUUAGGGUCUAUAUUUAAAAUAAAGUUAUUUGUACAAUUAUUGUUGACAAUCCACGUGUUGUCAAGAUAUGUUUGGUUGAUUUAAAAAACUGUUUUUAAAAUGGAUGGUGUAGAUUUUGCUAACUCAUGAUUCACGUAACUAUAAUUUUGAGGUGUCAAAAUCUUAGUGAAAUAUAAAGAAUUUUUAUUUUUGUAAUUUUUCAAAUAUGUGGCUCCAUUGUGUUAAUUGAUGUAUUUUUUAUUUUUUUUUUAUUUCUUUUGAGAAACUUUAAUUUCUAUUUUUAUUUCAAACUGUGCAAUGUUUUGUGUAGUAUUAAAUGAAUAUCUAGAAGUCCAGACUUCAGAGUGCUUUUGUGGAAAGAGAAGCUAGUUGAACACAAGGACAAUUGUGAAAAUUUAUUUUCAAAUGCCUUAAAUUAGUACGUCCUAGUCAAAAUUGUCAGAAUAAAUGAGAAUGGCUUUCCAAUGGCCAAUUUUCUUCUGAAAAUGAGGUGAAAAAGCUGGCCCAAAUAGGUCUUAAGGCUCAAUUUAAUGGAAAUUACGUGGAAGCUUACUUUUAAAAAUUACAUUUCGAAAAUCAGAUUCAAGGUUUGUUUAUAUAAUAAUAUAAUUUUUAAAUAGUAAUAAUAAUCUUAUAAAAAUAAUUUAAUCUACAUAAUCACCCCCACCCCAUCCAACCCAAACCCUAACAUUAACCAUAAAUCUUUUUCCAUUUCUAUUCUCUUUAUCUAUCUUCUCCGUCGUCUCUCUUCUAUUGCUGUCGAGAGACCCACCUCCAGCACAUAGCAGGUGAUGACACACACAGCAGCAUUGUGCACAACGACAACAACACACAACGUUGCUUUAGCAAGUCAGCAACUGCGAACAGCAGUGUCGUCAAAAGCCAUCGGAAGCCAUAGCAGUAACGUCGCGCACAGCGAGCAAUGACAAUGCUAUUGUGUGCGGCAUUGCUGCAGCAAUUGUGCGCCCUUGCACAUAGUCCCUCUUGAAACUACCGUUCUUUAUUCUUCCAUUCGUCGAUGCUGUUGAGGCUACAGUAGUUGCGCUGGUGCUAUUGAGGUGGUGGUGACGACAAUGGUGUUGAUGCCAAUGGAGUGGGAUGGGUGGGAAGAGGGGUGCUGUGUGAGCAAUAUAUGGUUGAUUGUGACCAUUAAAUAAACUGUGACCAAUAAUUUGGUUAAUUUGUGAUGAAGAAAUAAUAUGCGACCUAAAAAAUAUUAUUGUGAUUUAUAAUUUAUUAAGUUGUGAUCGAGAAAUUAUUUGUAACCAAUUCAUUCGAUAAUUUGUGACUAUUAAAUAAGUUGUGAUUUUUUAACCGAUGAAUAAAUUGUAAACUAUAACAUUUUUAAUUUGCGAUCGAGAAAUAAUUUUUGACCUAUAAUUUUUUGAUCCCUGUCCAAGAAAUAAUUCGUGACUAAGUAAUUCAACAAUUGUGACCUUAAUAUAUUUAAUUAAUAAAAUAUAAUUUUAAUUAAUUAUUUGAUAAAUAAAAUUUAAUUAAUAUAUGAUUUUUGAAGUUUUAAACAUUGUUUCUUAAUUUAAAAAUAGAUCAUACAUAAUCUCUUACAUAUGAAAUUUCCCCCUGAAUUUAUUUGUUGGUAUAGAAAAACUCAACAUACAGAAACAGACAGCAUUGCCUAAAAAAGAAUUCACAUUUGUUUCCCACUAAAUAUCAACAAAUUUUCAUUUUUAUUUUUGCAUGUUUCCAUAAAGUUAAUGAAAUAACAAUAAACAAUAUUAAUGAACAUCAUGACGGAAGAUAAGAUGUAACAAAAUAACAUCAUAAUACAUGUAGUUACUCAAUAUUACGUGUUCUACAACUCGACAAAUCUAACAAUAGCUGUUUUUCCACAAACAUCAUUAACAUACCACAUAAUGAAUGCUAAAAGAAUUUCAUGGUGAAGAAGAAGAGAACUGUUCAAACCUGAUUCAUUCUUUCACACUCUGUUUUCCAUCAAGCAUUGCAAUACAACAUGAUUAAAAGCUUGUAUCUUAGUCAGCUCUCGAUUGGCCAGCUCGUGACGACAAAAGAAUUUCAACAAUGAGGCCAUAAAGGGCCAAAGCUUUAGCAAAAAUGAAAAUCAGAAUGAUCCCAAGAAAAAGCUUCGUUGUUGUGCAUUAGCGCUACAACAUAGUUAAAAAACUGAUAUGAAGGCUGGUUUAAAAGUUAUUUCUCCCAGCCUAGUAUUCUUCAUAUUUAUAGAUGGAUUACAAGUAUUUGAAAAUAACAGAAAGAUACAAUUAGGAAGUUUGUUUAGAUAUUCUAAUAUCAUCUGAUCUUGAGUCCUUGAUCUCAUUCUCUUCAUUUGAAUUCAAAAUCUGUGAGUUAUCUUUAAUAACAGAAAUGGAUAUAUCUCUAACAGCCCCCUUCAAGCGGAUGGGAAGAUCAUGAACCAUUAGCUUGUCUCGAAGUAAGUCAAAACGUGAUGAAGAGAGUCCUUUUGUGUAGAUGUCUGAAGGUUGUGCUAUAGUUGAGAUGUACUUAGCUUGGAUAUCUUUGUUAUAGAUCUUUUCACGAAUAAAAUGGUAAUCUACCUCUAUAUGCUUGGUUCGAGCAUGAAAAACUGGGUUAGAGGACAAUGCUAGAGCACUAAUAUUGUCAACCCAAAUGCAGGGAGCAGUAGGUAAAGAUAUAUGAAGUUCUUUGAAUAACAUCCUNNNNNNNNNNNNNNNNNNNNNNNNNNNNNNNNNNNNNNNNNNNNNNNNNNNNNNNNNNNNNNNNNNNNNNNNNNNNNNNNNNNNNNNNNNNNNNNNNNNNNNNNNNNNNNNNNNNNNNNNNNNNNNNNNNNNNNNNNNNNNNNNNNNNNNNNNNNNNNNNNNNNNNNNNNNNNNNNNNNNNUAUAAUUUUCAAUCAGAUACUUCCUUUCAUGACAUUGUUAUCUGUCUUUAAUGUAUUCCUCCUAGUCUAGUGCAAGUUGUGCUUUCACUUGUAUUUGGAGGGAAUCAAAUUGCUUUGUACGGCGUUACUGUUUUUCGUGUCUCUCAUGAUAUAUACUUGUAGAGCCAUCUAGUUUAUAGGGCCUAUUUGAGCCACAUUAUUUCAAAAAAAUACAUUCUUAAAUAAUGAUUUGACAUCAUUUCAACCACACAUUAUUCAAUAAAAUAAUAUUACACGCAAAUAAAAAAAAUUUCCUUAUUUUUUAACUGCACAUUUUUCAUCGAUAUACCAUUCAAGAAUGCAUUAUUACCAAAAUAAUGUUGCUCAAACACCCCCAUAGUAACUUUUUUGUUGCUGGUGCAGAUUGAAAUAAUAUACGACUAUGGUUGAGAAGAUACUGCUUAAAUUAUGAUGGUCUUUCAUGGAAAUAAAUAAAGGUCAGUGUCAUAGUUGGUCUUUAUUAUUAAUAAUAUCUUUUCUGUUUUAAGUACAUCAAAUUUCACGGAGUUAGCCUUAUUCCAUCUUUAUAAGACAGGUCACACGAAUCCAUUGCCAUUCAGAUUUGUCUUGGGAAAUGAACUGUUGAAAAUUAUUACAUGAACAUUGGUGGCAUAUGUGCUACUUGCGACUUCCAUUUAUUUGUAUUUGUAGAUAAUAUUAAUUUGUUUACUUGAUAAUUUAGAUAUAUCUGGAGGUUUUCCUCCUCAUCGAGUGGUGGAGGGUCUGUUUUCUGAAGCUUUCCCCUUUCUCUUUUAAGGAUCAUGCUACAUGUACAUUAAGAUUUACAUAAGAGAUUACAUAAUUUUUACAUGUUACUCUACUAUUUGUCAGUUUAAAAUAUAAUUAACUUUUGCAUCCAAUCUUUUCCCUCCGCAUCAUUUUCGAUAACUGUUUAUGUACCAUUUUUAUGUACAAGUAGCAAAAUCCUUUAAAAAAAACAUGGUUAUGUAGAUCUUGCAAUUAUCUAAUAUGCUGAUGAUUGAUUACAGAUGCAGAUUUGAGAAGGCAUAAACAUCUGGGAGAACUUUCCGUUUAAUCUUGUUUGUCUUGGUUGGUGUGAUGUCAAAAGAAAACCUUCUGAACUGAAAUCUUGUUCUCUAUUUGGUUUGAUUCACAAAAUCAAGGUGUUUCUUGGUUGAUCAAAUUCAGAGUUUAAUUGAUUUCCAGUUUUGUCU